CACCUAGUAUAAGAAGUAACCAAGAAAGUGAGAAUCUAACUAUCCACUAAAAAGUAAGGAUUUCAAGACAAGGAAACUAUUCUAAGGGCUCGCGUAUAAGGCUAGUAAUAGAAUCAUCAUAGUUGUAAUAGAAUCAUAAGAAUAGGAAUAAGAAUAGAAAGUAAUAAAAGCAAGGUAGAUUCAGAAUUGACCUCUUUCUUGCCAACCCUUUACUGUAUUCUCUCACACCUAGUAUAAGCGGGUGCAUUUCAAUAUCAUAUGCCGGAGCAGGAAAGUCUCUCGGUGUUGUCGACGAAACAGGAAGUACUGAAAGCUAACGUGGAGUUUCAUAAGUCAUAUCUAUGUAAUAGAAUCAUUAGCGAGGUAUUAUCUAUGUAAUAGAAUCAUUAGCGAGGUAUUAUCUAUACGGUAACCAACCAACCCUGUGCUUCAUUCUGCAAUUCCAUUCUUUUCGUAGUCAAUUCCAUUCUGCAAUUUGUUUUUCUCAACUCCAAAUGGAUUUCUAUGUAAUAUGGCACUGCACUUGCACUGUGAUCGGAGAGGCUUUCAGCACCUUGCAUCCCCUUCUCUUUUGUCUAUUUUGCUUUUAGUUAGGAAGGCGGCUAUGAGAUUACUAACAUCUAGAUUACCCUCCCCUAUAGUUUAUUGAAUGACUUCGAGUAAAUGUUUGUGAUUUAUGUUAUCAAGGCAACCAACGAUAUCAGAUUGAAACUAAGGUCCCCAACGUUCCAUUUGGAAAAAGAAAGUAAUUGGUCCUCGCCCUUUCCUAAACCCGUGAGAUUGAUUUGGAAUAAAAGAAGAAGGUAAGAGGGUAGUACUGUGUCGAGUAACAGUACAGGCAGUAGCUAGACCACUUGCAUGUCGAACAGAUCUAAUCACAAGGCAAAAGUGGAUUAGGGGCGCAAUGACCUAGAAGCUCGUAGGCUAUGGCUCAGUUCAUACUCGAGUAGAGGCUCAGAACAUUCUCGCGAAGGUAGACCAUAGUUUGUGAGGAUACAUUCUUGGCUAGAUCAUUCGAGUCAAUGCAUAGAUCUUUUACAGCUUCGGGUUAGUUCCAUUGACUCCGCCUUUGAUUCUGUUUUUGGUAUUUCUUCUUCGAUCAAAGGUAUGCAGAAACCUCUAAAGUAGAAAAACACCCGGGUGCGAGUCUUAUCCCACGCCCCACCACUCAAGUUUUAUGGCUUAGAGUGCAAUUCUCUAGCUCUGUUUCCUGUUUACUAGGUUUGAGUCAACUUCUUUAGAGUCGUUUUCUUUCUUAAUGGGAGGGUGCUCCGAUGGCAUGAACCCAGGGACGAUCAAAGGAAAUACGAUUUCGGUAUGAUUCAAGGUGAAACUAUCGGUAUGAUUCAAGGUUCAACUCAUUCUUAUGUCAGCGAGCAAAGGAUCACUCUUAUAUCAAAUGACAAAUCAUCCUUUAUUUCUGGGUUAAUUCAAUAGGGACCCUAUGUUGCAUUCUCGUAGAUUGAGGGGAGGGUUGGUUCUUUCAAGGUCUCGCUUUGGCGCGUUAAGCACACGCUAUUAUAGUAGAAUAAUAAGAAUAAGAAAGAGAAGGAUUUUAGGAAAAGGAUAGAAGGAAGGUUCAAAGGGUUCGUUUGGGGGCGUUAAGCACGCGCUACAAUAUAAUAAGAAUGACAGGCUAACAGGGUUAAUAAGAAUGGAAGUCGAAGGGGUUAAUACAGAAUUCCAUACAGGAUAGUAGGGCUAAAGCUAUCAAUUGCAAACUUCACGGCUUGUCCCACACGUUGCUCGGCUCCACAAUUGCUAGUGUUGGGGAAGAGUAGGAAUUAACGAACCCACCCGGCUGUUUAUCUUACUUACUAAAAAACAAAACAACCUACCUGUUGCAUUGUAGAGAGUUAACAGCUUGAGUUUCGUUUUCGUUCUGAAUCUUCCAAAACCAAUCUAGUGGUAUCUUUUAUUCUAUGCUUGUUAGCUUCCGACUCAAACUACUAGGAUUGAUUGCGAGCCUGCCUU
Molecule: long non-coding RNA, 1974 nt
Filed under: Musa acuminata (dwarf banana)
Lineage: Eukaryota; Viridiplantae; Streptophyta; Magnoliopsida; Zingiberales; Musaceae
Description: long non-coding RNA (MACU_LNC007656)
Source: RNAcentral